GCCGAAGUGGCAACGCGUGGCAUCGCCACCAGACCCCGCGUGCGUGUGCAAGAUCACUUUGAAUUCGCGGACGCGCGCCACCCGUGUUAGUGCAACCUGUGUCUUGUGGAAGAGCAUCUGCGCCCCGUGCUGAGCUCAGGAUUGAUGAGAGACUGCGUUGGAGGACCGCAUGCCACUCACCAUAAAGUCUCUCCAGAGCUCUUCAGACCUUCCAGAUCCUGUCUGUCCAUCUGGCAGAGUUUGCCCAAAUGACUGCCCUAGUGAAUAU
Dipodomys spectabilis (banner-tailed kangaroo rat) is the source of this 268-nucleotide long non-coding RNA. RefSeq lists it as uncharacterized. The transcript has 3 exons. Lineage: Eukaryota; Metazoa; Chordata; Mammalia; Rodentia; Heteromyidae. The record is from RefSeq and is a predicted model, not a curated record.